CGACGACCACCUGCGGCCGGAACCCCUGCUCUCCUGGCUCUGCAACUCCAUCCAGACGGAUUCAUCCUCUCCAGAUAAGUCUCCGUGAACAGUAAUACAAGAUACAAUACUACCUAGAGGUUGCUCGCAUUGUCCAUGAUCAUGACCCUACAUAGAGAAGUUGGAAACUUGGAAUGACAAGCCAACUUUGCAGCACACGGAAACUAUUACUCAGUGUGUGUCCUCCUUCAGUUCAUUAUGUGGAUGCCAAAGGAUCGGGAAGGAGCGUGUUAUUGAAACAUCGAGCAGUGACUUUCAUCAUCAAGGUUGCAAUGCUGAAGGCACUCAACUCAAAAUGGCAGGGGGAAGGAAUGUGUGGAGGACGUUGAGGGACUGGCAGGUGGUUUUAUACGUGUUCAUAGUUUUCAUGACGAUCAAGGUGAUGCCCUUGUAUGUCUACAUGGUAAGAUAUUGCCUUGGGCUUGUUACUGUUUUUAGUGGUAUCCGUGGGCUUGUAUUGCUAUGUAUUGGGUCACUUAAGAGUAUUUCAUUACCUAAAAUGUUCUUCUGAUCUGGAUUACUCUUAAAUCUAGAAAUGGCUACUUUCAAAUUUUAACUGUCCUAAUGAGUAAAUCCUAUUAAGUGUCCCAAAAUCAUGGUUGUUAUAAUUUCCUUCUAAAACCGUUUUGAUAAUAGAUUGACCUCCACAUGUGAGAGGAUCAAAAUUUCACGUAAUAUCAUAAAGGCUGGGCUCACAAUAGACUGUCGUUAUAUUGCAAGGUAGCGAGGAUACAAGCUAUGGUUGUAGUCACAAAAUGAAUGAUCAUGGUCAAGAGGUUAGUUUGUAGUGUGGACAAAACUCUAUUAUACUGUCAUUUUGAUGGUGGAUAACACCAUCUAGAUUCUAGAUCUAGAGCAGCUGGUCAAGGAAGCCACAGAGCUGGGAGUUUAAGAAGUUGAGAAGACUUUCGGUUAUUGAAAAUGAUUACUCCCAUAUGUAUAUUGUCAUAAUAACUAAUUUUAUGUUAAAAAAUAGGCUGCUCAGGCCCAUGGCAAUCAAUCUGCAUUCUGCAAUAGAACUUGCUGGUGUCUGGUUUUUUUGUCUUUUCCCUUCAAUCAAUCCACUGGUAUAUCUGUUUACUAUUUUCGUAGUCAAUAUAUCUUUUUUGCCUUUUUAUUUUGAACCCUGCUUGCCUCCCAUUGUGAUUUGUAGCAUGAAGGAUGAGAUUGAUCAGCACUACCUAAGCAACAUUAUUGUUUGCAAAUGACAGUGCUAUAAUUUUAAAAUAACAUCUCAAAUGAUAGCAGAUAAUCUGCACCGAAGAGGGUGCCCAAACUGUGGGUCCUGUGAGCUAUGUCACGCAGCCCUGAGACAAAUACCUAUCUCUUUGUCCACUGCAGUUUCACCUCCCAGGUCUGACAAUUAAUCAGAGCAUGAUCAGCGGUAGAUUUUCCUAUUCCAGGCUCUUACUUUCUCAACAGAAGAUUGGUGGACAAAAGUGAGGAAGAGGGUGCCGAAGAUCAACAGGUGUGACUUUGACACAAUUUCUAAACUGGUACAUUGGAAGAUAUGGAAGGAGAGGAAUUCUAGAAGUUCUGAGAACUUACAACAUUAGGCAGAGGAUGUCUUUGUCGCGUUUAGGGAUGAGAUAGCUAUAUGGCGAUCGGCUGGAAGAGUGAGUUCUCUCUAGCUGACCUGCCGGUGCGUGGAGUUCAGGCAUACUGUGCUCUUUAUCGAUCCAGCGCAUGUCUAGGAUCUACUCCUUGUUUUGCUCCAUCUCGGAGCUGUUGUAACACCUCUGUACUCUCCUUCUUAAUCUUAAUAAAGUUCGUCCUAUGGCCUUUCAACA
This is a non-coding RNA of Lolium perenne, 1829 nucleotides long. The record is from RefSeq and is a predicted model, not a curated record. Lineage: Eukaryota; Viridiplantae; Streptophyta; Magnoliopsida; Poales; Poaceae.